UACGUAGGUGGCAAGCGUUGUCCGGAUUUACUGGGCGUAAAGAGCGCGCAGGCGGUCGUUCAAGUCGCGUGUGAAAGCCCCCGGCUUAACUGGGGAGGGUCACGCGAUACUGAUCGACUCGAAGGCAGGAGAGGGUAGUGGAAUUCCCGGUGUAGUGGUAAAAUGCGUAGAUAUCGGGAGGAACACCAGUGGCGAAGGCGACUACCUGGCCUGUUCUUGACGCUGAGGCGCGAAAGCUAGGGGAGCAAACGGG
RNAcentral lists this ribosomal RNA (253 nucleotides) under uncultured bacterium. Its description in RNAcentral is "partial 16S ribosomal RNA". It matches the Rfam family "Bacterial small subunit ribosomal RNA", at positions 524 to 776 of the family's 1533-position model. The record is from RNAcentral.